Molecule: ribosomal RNA, 254 nt
Filed under: uncultured bacterium
Lineage: Bacteria
Description: partial 16S ribosomal RNA
Rfam family: Bacterial small subunit ribosomal RNA
Source: RNAcentral
UACGGGGGGGGGCAAGCGUUGUUCGGAAUUACUGGGCGUAAAGCGUGCGCAGGCGGUGAUGUAAGACAGAUGUGAAAUCCCCGGGCUCAACCUGGGAACUGCAUUUGUGACUGCAUCGCUGGAGUGCGGCAGAGGGGGAUGGAAUUCCGCGUGUAGCAGUGAAAUGCGUAGAUAUGCGGAGGAACACCGAUGGCGAAGGCAAUCCCCUGGGCCUGCACUGACGCUCAUGCACGAAAGCGUGGGGAGCAAACAGG